This 20-nucleotide small nuclear RNA is filed under the name Arabidopsis thaliana (thale cress). Its description in RNAcentral is "snRNA_08073". The record is from RNAcentral. Lineage: Eukaryota; Viridiplantae; Streptophyta; Magnoliopsida; Brassicales; Brassicaceae.
GGAACCAUGUGUCCUGCAUC